ACCAGACUCCCCCUCGAAUUGUUUCUCGUUAGGGAUUUAAAUUGUACUCAUUCCAAUUACAAUACCCAAAAGAGCCCUGUAUCAUUAUUUAUUGUCACUACCUCCCCGUGUCGGGAUUGGGUAAUUUGCGCGCCUGCUGCCUUCCUUGGAUGUGGUAGCCGUUUCUCAGGCUCCCUCUCCGGAAUAGAACCCUAAUUCCCCGUUACCCGUUGAAACCAUGGUAGCCCACUACGCUACCAUCGAAAGUUGAUAGGGCAGAAAUUUGAAUGAACCAUCGCCGGCACAAGGCCAUGCGAUUCGUUAAGUUAUUAUGAAUCACCAAGGAGCCCCGAAGGGCAUUGGUUUUUUAUCUAUAAAUACACCCCUUCGUGAGUUGGGGUUUUUAGCAUGUAUUAGCUCUAGAAUUACCACGGUUAUCU
RNAcentral lists this ribosomal RNA (419 nucleotides) under uncultured eukaryote. RNAcentral describes it as "partial 18S ribosomal RNA". The record is from RNAcentral.